RNAcentral lists this transfer RNA (90 nucleotides) under Capsulimonadaceae bacterium. RNAcentral describes it as "tRNA-Ser". It matches the Rfam family "tRNA". Rfam says of the family: Transfer RNA (tRNA) molecules are approximately 80 nucleotides in length. Their secondary structure includes four short double-helical elements and three loops (D, anti-codon, and T loops). The record is from RNAcentral. Lineage: Bacteria; Bacillati; Armatimonadota; Armatimonadia; Capsulimonadales; Capsulimonadaceae.
GGAGAGGUCGCAUAGCCCGGUCUAGUGCGCUCGCCUCGAAAGCGAGUGAGGUGAAAGCCUCCGUGGGUUCGAAUCCCACCCUCUCCGCCA